CCUACGGGUGGCAGCAGUGAGGAAUAUUGGUCAAUGGACGAGAGUCUGAACCAGCCAAGCAGCGUGAAGGAUGACUGCCCCAUGGGUUGUAAACUUCUUUUAUCAAGGAAUAAAACGAGGCACGUGUGCCUUUUUGCAUGUACUUUAUGAAUAAGGAUCGGCUAACUCCGUGCCAGCAGCCGCGGUAAUACGGAGGAUCCGAGCGUUAACCGGAUUUAUUGGGUUUAAAGGGAGCGUAGAUGGGUUGUUAAGUCAGUUGUGAAAGGUUGCGGCUCAACCGUAAAAUUGCAAUUGAUACUGGCAGUCUUGAGUACAGUUGAGGUAGGCGGAAUUCGUAGUGUAGCGGUGAAAUGCUUAGAUAUCACGAAGAACCCCGAUUGCGAAGGCAGCUUACUAAACUGUGACUGACAUUGAUGCACGAAAGUGUGGGUAUCAAACAGGAUUAGAUACCCGUGUAGUC
This 460-nucleotide ribosomal RNA is filed under the name uncultured bacterium. RNAcentral describes it as "partial 16S ribosomal RNA". It matches the Rfam family "Bacterial small subunit ribosomal RNA", at positions 338 to 795 of the family's 1533-position model. The record is from RNAcentral.